UCCAACCUGCUCCAAUUCCGUUCCACUUCAAAUGGAAGAACGCAGGACGGCAACGUUGCUGCAUCGUGUCGCUGCCAUCGUCGGUUGAAGUCAGCAGCCCGCCAGCGGACGGAGAUGACGGCGGGCGGCGACUUCCGCUUCCCCCCUUUCUGUUCUCUUUCCUUUUUCUCGGGCGCCGUUUCCUCCACAUUCCAUCCUGCGAUUGACGGCGUGCCACGGUUGUUAGGGCUCCCCUGCUUCCUCAGGCUCAGGAUAACGUUAUUUUAUGUUUUCAUUUACCUCCUCAUUCUAUAGGCAUAUUGUUAUGUGAUGCCCGCCGUCGCUGCCGCUUUCGCCGUAUCGCCAACCCCACCGAACCGGUGUCCCCCGCAUAUUCCCUAUCCUGUACUCACCACCACUAGGCGCCCGGUCGAUUCCCCGCCGACCCCCAUAUCGAGGCCUUCCUCUCCUUCCCCCUUCUUCUAUCUCAGUCUCAAAGGCCGCUCCCUCCUCGCCCUCGUCUGCUUCCGCCUGCCUUCCCGUCGCCGCCUUCCCACAGAGAUGGAAAGCAACGGUGUUAUUUCGGGAAAGACACCUGAUUUAGUUCUUUCUUCUUCAUAUGAGGCUGCUAUGAGGGCCCUUUCCUCCCUAAUUAGUGGUCGCAAACGUGGAGAACCACCAAAGAGGGAUAAGAAGUUGGAUUUGAUAUUUAAUUAUUUAAAGAUAAUAGGUGUGGAGAAAAGCUUACCGGAACUUAAGAUUAUCCACAUAGGAGGAACUAAAGGAAAGGGUUCAACAUGCACAUUUUGUGAAGCUAUUUUACGUGAAUGUGGUUUCCGAACGGGACUAUUCACAUCUCCUCAUCUAAUGGAUGUCAGAGAAAGAUUUCGAAUUAAUGGGUUAGAUAUCUCCGAAGAUAAGUUUUUGUAUUACUUUUGGGAUUGUUGGAACCUAUUGAAGGAGAGUGUGGAUGAGGAUUUGCCGAUGCCUCCAUUAUUUCAGUUCCUAACUGUGUUGGCAUUUAAGAUAUUUGUAUCUGAAAAGGUUGAUGUUGCAAUUAUUGAAGUAGGUCUUGGGGGAAGAUUUGACUCAACAAAUGUGGUAAAGGAGCCUGUUGUUUGUGGAAUAACUUCGCUUGGAAUGGAUCACAUGGAGAUUUUAGGAGAUACCAUUGGACAAAUUGCUUCAGCAAAGGCUGGGAUUUUCAAGCCGCAUGUUCCUGCAUUCACAGUACCCCAACUUCCGGAGGCAAUGCUUGCUCUUGAGGAGAGGGCAUCUGAGUUAAUGAUUCCUUUGACAUUUGCUUCCCCACUUGAUCCAUCAGUGAUGAAUGGAUUAACGCUUGGAUUAGCUGGAGAUCACCAGCUCAUAAAUGCUGGUCUUGCUGUUGCUCUUUGCACAAGUUGGCUUCAGAGAACCGGGCAUGCAGAACUCACUCCUAAUGAUAACCCAGAAGAAGGCUUACCAGUAGGAUUUCUCAGAGGCCUUUCCACUGCCAGACUUGGUGGACGAGCUCAAACUAUUAUUGACAAGCCAAAAAUGCUUGAGCAGAUCCCAUAUGGAAAUUCUGGUGAUCUGAUCUUUUACUUGGAUGGUGCUCAUAGUCCAGAAAGCAUGGAGGUUUGUGCUAGGUGGUUCUCCAGUGCUGUAGGAGAAGCCCAGCAGUUUGUAAAGAAUGGAUUUGUGAAAGAACUUGGAUAUUCUAGUUUGUAUGAGAAUAAGCAUUCUAGUGAAUCUAAGAAAGCAUCUAAGAAGAUUCUUUUGUUUAACUGCAUGGAGAAGAGAGACCCUCAACUUCUGCUUCCACCACUUGUCGACAUAUGUGCUUCAAAUGGUGUCCAUUUCUCAAAAGCUCUUUUUGUUCCCAGCAUGUCGGUGUAUCAUAGAGUUGAUUCCGGGUCAUCAAUUGUAGCACCUAAUACUCCUGCAAAUUUGUCAUGGCAGUCCACCCUCCAAAGAACUUGGGAUAAAUUAAUCCAAGAAAAAGAUUUAGUCAAUGAUAAUGGUUCCAAGAUGCAGAAGCUUGGGAAAACUCAUGAAGAUGUCACUGGAGAGCCUCUGGAAAAGUGUGUUCCUGUUCUUAAAGAUCUUUCUCCCAGUGCAGUAGUUCCAUCUUUACCGUUGGCUAUAAGAUGGUUGAGAGACUAUGCAAAGGACAACCCUUCUCUUCAUCUUCAGGUUCUUGUCACAGGAUCAUUGCAUUUGGUGGGUGAUGUCUUGAAGCUUUUGAGAAGAUGAUCUCAACAUUAAGCCUCACACUCAAACAUUCAAGCAAUAUUCUUUUCAUGCAUGCAACAUGAUGGAAAUUGCACUGUUUGAUGGAUUAUAUGGUGGUCUCUUUGAGCCAUCAGAAUCUUUCUAAUUCAAUUAUUUUUGCAAGAUUGAUCGGUUCUGGUUAUCUUGCCAACUGUGUGAAGCAGAUUUAAGUUGUUCAUGGCUCUGGCAAUAAUUCUCAGAAAUGGAGCUAAAGUUAGUCAUAAAACAUGGGGAAUAAUCAUGUUAAACCCAGAAACAGAACUUCAUUUCCAGAAAUCAAGAAUGUACUUCUGUCAGUGGACAAGAUGUUCAAAGAAUCAAGGUACCAGACUUGUGUCGGUCAAUGGCUGGAUUGGUAUAGAUCUGGUCCAUUUUUCCAUGUGGAAUGUCAGAAUAUACUGCAGUGCCAAUGUCUUGUGGAGAGAGAGAGAGAGGAGGUGAAGAAGAAAGAUGCGGAAGGAAGAGCAAGGGAGGAAGAGGAAGGAGUUGGAGAAAAAGGAGAACGAAAAAGAUGGAGAAGUAGCCGAAAAGAGGUUAACAGCCGGCGGCGGACGACAGGUCAUGAGCCCUAAAGGAUCAGAUGAUCGGGGCUUUAUUGAUUUUUUUUAUUCAUUUGAACACGACCGGUUCAUAUUUGAAGAGCAAAAUCGAAAACCUUAGUUUA
Molecule: RNA transcript, 2899 nt
Organism: Musa acuminata AAA Group (dessert banana)
Lineage: Eukaryota; Viridiplantae; Streptophyta; Magnoliopsida; Zingiberales; Musaceae
Gene name: folylpolyglutamate synthase
Exons: 17
Source: RefSeq, a predicted model, not a curated record